Caenorhabditis elegans is the source of this 150-nucleotide non-coding RNA. NCBI's taxonomy places the organism in Eukaryota, Metazoa, Nematoda, Chromadorea, Rhabditida, Rhabditidae. The record is from Ensembl.
GGCACGGUUUUUUUCUCGGUGGGUCUCGCCACGAUCUCAUUCGAUUACUUUUUACUCCACAAUGUGCAGACAUAGCAACCAAAUUCACGUUGUACUUAGUAUGCCGGUUUUUUUUUGAUUAGGAGUCGCAAAAACUUUUAUAUUGCUUUG